GUCCCGGUAGGGUAGAGGAUAUCCUUGGGGCUUGCGGAGCCUUAGACCCGUGUUCGAUUCACGGUCGGGACG
RNAcentral lists this transfer RNA (72 nucleotides) under Methanosarcinaceae archaeon. Its description in RNAcentral is "tRNA-Arg". It matches the Rfam family "tRNA". Rfam says of the family: Transfer RNA (tRNA) molecules are approximately 80 nucleotides in length. Their secondary structure includes four short double-helical elements and three loops (D, anti-codon, and T loops). Lineage: Archaea; Methanobacteriati; Methanobacteriota; Methanomicrobia; Methanosarcinales; Methanosarcinaceae. RNAcentral also lists the same sequence under 2 other names. The record is from RNAcentral.